GGAGGACCUGAAGGGGGGCGGCAGGGCAGAAGGGACCCCCGGAGCCCUGCCGCCAUCAGAGAUCGAGCAUCUGGCAUCAGGGAUCUUCGGACCCAGCAGAAGCAUCAGCCACAGGGGAGGUGUCCUCUCAGGGAAGCCAACGAGAGCGCCACCUGCCCCACAUCAGGAGUCCCCCACCCCGUGCUGGCAACCAUAGCAGGCCCCUAACCCCUCAGCCUCCAUCCCCAUCGCCCUCCUCAGGCCCUUUCCCCCACCUCCAGCUCUCAUCUCAGCUCCCAGCGCCCCUGCUACCACCCCACCCUCCAGGUCUCGGCCACACUGACCCCCAUCCUGGGAUAUUUGCCAAAUCCCUGGGAGGACAUCGUUUGUUUGGGCGAUGCCCCCUGGUGGCAUGACAGUGUCUGCCUAGACCCCUGACCCCUAGCCCUCAACUCCCUGGCCUCCUUUGUGUGGAGAGCGCUCCUCUGCUCAGCCUGUGGUUGGGGGCCCAAGGGAAAGCCAGCCCCGGCUGGGCCCCGGCCCCCACCACUUGCCUCCUUGCUGGGCAGCUCCCCCUGGCCUUCGGGCCUCUCCCUGCUCCCCUCGGCCCCUCCUCCUGGGCCGCCCCAAUGAAGGAGCCGGAUGCCAUCAAGCUGUUUGUGGGGCAGAUCCCAAGGCAUCUGGAGGAAAAGGACCUGAAGCCCAUCUUCGAACAGUUUGGUCGGAUCUUCGAGCUGACUGUCAUCAAGGACAAGUACACCGGGCUGCACAAGGGAUGUGCCUUCCUGACAUACUGUGCCCGCGAUUCAGCCCUGAAGGCCCAGAGCGCCCUGCACGAACAGAAGACGCUUCCAGGGAUGAACAGGCCGAUCCAGGUCAAGCCAGCCGACAGCGAGAGCCGAGGAGAAGACCGGAAGCUCUUUGUGGGGAUGCUAGGGAAGCAGCAGACAGAUGAGGACGUCCGGAAGAUGUUCGAGCCCUUUGGGACCAUAGAUGAGUGCACUGUGCUGCGGGGGCCGGAUGGCACCAGCAAAGGCUGCGCCUUCGUGAAGUUCCAGACCCACGCCGAGGCCCAGGCGGCCAUCAACACCCUUCACAGCAGCCGGACCCUGCCGGGCGCCUCGUCCAGCCUGGUGGUGAAGUUCGCUGACACGGAGAAGGAGCGAGGUCUCCGCCGGAUGCAGCAGGUGGCCUCCCAGCUGGGCAUGUUCGGCCCCAUCGCCCUCCAGUUCGGAGCCUACGGCGCCUACACUCAGGCCCUGAUGCAGCAGCAGGCGGCCGUGCUGGCGGCUCACAGUGCCUACCUCAGCCCCAUGGCCACCAUGGCUGCCGUGCAGAUGCAGCACAUGGCUGCCAUCAACGCCAACGGCCUCAUAGCCACCCCCAUCACCCCAUCCUCAGGAACCAGCACCCCUCCUGCCAUCGCUGCCACGCCUGUCUCAGCAAUCCCCGCUGCCCUGGGUGUCAACGGCUACAGCCCGGUGCCCACCCAGCCCGCCGGGCAGCCUGCCCCUGAUGCUCUGUAUCCCAACGGGGUUCACCCCUACCCAGCUCAGAGCCCCGCAGCCCCCGUGGACCCCCUGCAGCAGGCCUACGCAGGGAUGCAGCACUACACAGCAGCCUACCCGGCAGCCUACAGCCUGGUUGCGCCUGCGUUCCCGCAGCCCCCCACCCUGGUGGCUCAGCAGCCCCCGCCGCCUCCCCAGCAGCAACAGCAGCAGCAACAGCGGGAAGGCCCUGACGGCUGCAACAUCUUCAUCUACCACCUGCCCCAGGAGUUCACUGACUCAGAGAUCCUUCAGAUGUUUGUCCCCUUUGGUCACGUCAUCUCAGCCAAAGUCUUUGUUGACCGGGCCACCAAUCAGAGCAAGUGUUUUGGCUUUGUGAGUUUCGACAAUCCAGCCAGUGCCCAGGCCGCCAUCCAGGCCAUGAACGGUUUCCAGAUCGGCAUGAAGCGCCUCAAAGUCCAGCUGAAGCGGCCGAAGGAUGCCAACCGGCCCUACUGAGGGUGCCCAGCCCAGGGCCCGUGUCCAUUGUCGGCCGAAGCCCCCAUCCCCGGACCCCUGCUCCGGGCCCCUGUCUGGAGACACCACAGGAAGGGGCACCUCACCCCCUCUCCCCACGACUGGCCCCAGCCCUCUCUGCACAUCUGCCCUGGGCCUUGAUUGGGCGCUGGAGCAAAAGCUGCUUCACGGCCCUGGGGGCACCGGACACCGGCCCGCUCCUACCACCCGCCUCUCCCAAAGGGCCUGUCUCCUCCCAGGUGCCCUUUUGGCCUUUGUGAGGGAGCAGGGAACAGGCUCCAAGGCUCCGGGGUGUCUGCCUUCUGUGCCCAGCUUUCGCACUUGCCUCCCCCCACCAGCGGCCUGGUCUACCCGUGCGGCUUCCGGAGGGCAGCGGGGCUCCCCCCCACCCCCCACACCCUCAUCCCAGCCUCUUCCCCGCUUUAGGGGUUUCUCAGAAGCUGGUUCUCACGCUCCCUGCCACCCUCAGCUAGAGGUAGGAUGUCCUGAACCCCGGGCUCCCAGCCCUAAAACUCACUGCCUCCCCCAAGGGCCCCCUCCAAGGAGGGUGUGGGGGAGCCCUGAGGGCUGCCUUCCACCGGUCAGCCACAGAGACCCUCUUCCUUCCACGAGGAAAAGACCUCCCCCGAACCCCUAAAAAUGUUUACAGUCUCUGCUGGUCCCCUCCGUGUAAAUACCACUACCAGCGUGCGUUAUCCGCCCGGCCCGGCCCGGACGCUGCCAUCUCUCUUUCUGGGAGUUUAGACAAUGUUUCCCUUGGAUUUUUUUCUCUCUUGAGUUCUCCCUUUGCUUUGAGGGGUAAUUGGGUAUUUGGGAGGAGGGGUGUGGGGAGGGAUCAAGGGCUUUAUUACCUGAUCAUUUUCUUUAGGAAGAGGUUUUAGGGAAAAGAAACGGGUGGGGGCGGGAGUGGUAAGGGAGACUGGGGAGUCCGUUUCAGACACUUCUCUAUGCUUAACUUAUUUAUU
Molecule: RNA transcript, 2968 nt
Organism: Hipposideros armiger (great roundleaf bat)
Lineage: Eukaryota; Metazoa; Chordata; Mammalia; Chiroptera; Hipposideridae
Gene: CELF3
Gene name: CUGBP Elav-like family member 3
Exons: 14
Source: RefSeq, a predicted model, not a curated record